Molecule: non-coding RNA, 30 nt
Filed under: Homo sapiens (human)
Lineage: Eukaryota; Metazoa; Chordata; Mammalia; Primates; Hominidae
Source: RNAcentral
UUGGUGGGGAUCCCAUAGUUGGGGCCUGUC